UACGUAGGGCGCGAGCGUUGUUCGGAAUUACUGGGCGUAAAGCGCACGUAGGCGGCUUUGUAAGUUAGAGGUGAAAGCCCGGGGCUCAACUCCGGAAUUGCCUUUAAGACUGCAUCGCUAGAAUUGUGGAGAGGUAAGUGGAAUUCCGAGUGUAGAGGUGAAAUUCGUAGAUAUUCGGAAGAACACCAGUGGCGAAGGCGACUUACUGGACACAUAUUGACGCUGAGGUGCGAAAGCGUGGGGAGCAAACAGG
RNAcentral lists this ribosomal RNA (253 nucleotides) under uncultured bacterium. RNAcentral's name for it is "partial 16S ribosomal RNA". It matches the Rfam family "Bacterial small subunit ribosomal RNA", at positions 524 to 776 of the family's 1533-position model. The record is from RNAcentral.